CGAAGGGUGCAAGCGUUACUCGGAAUUACUGGGCGUAAAGCGUGCGUAGGUGGUUUGUUAAGUCUGAUGUGAAAGCCCUGGGCUCAACCUGGGAAUUGCAUUGGAUACUGGCAGGCUAGAGUGCGGUAGAGGGUAGUGGAAUUCCCGGUGUAGCAGUGAAAUGCGUAGAGAUCGGGAGGAACAUCUGUGGCGAAGGCGACUACCUGGACCAGCACUGACACUGAGGCACGAAAGCGUGGGGAGCAAACAGGAUU
RNAcentral lists this ribosomal RNA (254 nucleotides) under uncultured bacterium. RNAcentral describes it as "partial 16S ribosomal RNA". It matches the Rfam family "Bacterial small subunit ribosomal RNA", at positions 526 to 779 of the family's 1533-position model. The record is from RNAcentral.